Molecule: ribosomal RNA, 695 nt
Filed under: Camarops sp.
Lineage: Eukaryota; Fungi; Ascomycota; Sordariomycetes; Boliniales; Boliniaceae
Description: eukaryotic LSU rRNA
Rfam family: Eukaryotic large subunit ribosomal RNA (bases 114-695)
Source: RNAcentral
GAAUUCCAGUGGCGGGCUCGCCGCGAAACCGAGCGUAGUAGUAUUACCCUCGCUCAGGACGUCGCGGCGGGCGCCGGCCGUGAAAGAGAACGUGUUUACAACACAGUACAGGUUGACCUCGGAUCAGGUAGGAAUACCCGCUGAACUUAAGCAUAUCAAUAAGCGGAGGAAAAGAAACCAACAGGGAUUGCCCUAGUAACGGCGAGUGAAGCGGCAACAGCUCAAAUUUGAAAUCUGGCCUCGGCCCGAGUUGUAAUUUGCAGAGGAUGCUUUUGGCGCGGCGCCUCCCGAGUCCCCUGGAACGGGGCGCCACAGAGGGUGAGAGCCCCGUAUGGUAGGACGCCUAGCCUGUGUAAAGCUCCUUCGACGAGUCGAGUAGUUUGGGAAUGCUGCUCAAAAUGGGAGGUAAAUUCCUUCUAAAGCUAAAUACCGGCCAGAGACCGAUAGCGCACAAGUAGAGUGAUCGAAAGAUGAAAAGCACUUUGAAAAGAGGGUCAAACAGCACGUGAAAUUGUUGAAAGGGAAGCGCUCGUGACCAGACUUGCGCCGGGUCGAUCAUCCGGUGUUCUCACCGGUGCACUCGGCCCGGCUCAGGCCAGCAUCGGUUUUCGCGGGGGGAUAAAAGCCCGGGGAACGUGGCUCUUCCGGGAGUGUUAUAGCCCCGGGCACAAUACCCUCGCGGGACCGAGGACCGC